GUCCCCUUAUCUUUUCUUUUAUAGGUAAUUUAGGUGUAACCGUCGAACACAUGGAGUCUCGCUUAUUGUGCAUAAAUGGAUAGUUAACCCCCAUUAUCGGACUGUUAUCAUAGAGUUAAUGGAUAGUUUAUGCCCACUAACAGUCGUGGCAUGUAGUUAUUAUCCACGAUUGUAGUAUCAUAAUUGUAGAUUAGGCAGUCGGUCAUAUCAGUUAGCUAUAUCAGU
This 225-nucleotide long non-coding RNA is filed under the name Elaeis guineensis (African oil palm). RNAcentral describes it as "long non-coding RNA (EGUI_LNC034170)". The record is from RNAcentral. Lineage: Eukaryota; Viridiplantae; Streptophyta; Magnoliopsida; Arecales; Arecaceae.